CCUACGGGAGGCAGCAGUGGGGAAUUUUGGACAAUGGGGGCAACCCUGAUCCAGCNAUGCCGCGUGAGUGAAGAAGGCCCNUCGGGUUGUAAAGCUCUUUUGUCAGGGAAGAAAAGGGUGUGGCUNAUAUCCAGAUCUNNUGACGGUACCUGAAGAAUAAGCACCGGCUAACUACGUGCCAGCAGCCGCGGUAAUACGUAGGGUGCAAGCGUUAAUCGGAAUUACUGGGCGUAAAGCGUGCGCAGGCGGUUUCGUAAGUCUGUCGUGAAAUCCCCGGGCUUAACCUGGGAAUGGCGAUGGAGACUGCGAGGCUAGAGUUUGGCAGAGGGGGGUAGAAUUCCACGUGUAGCAGUGAAAUGCGUAGAGAUGUGGAGGAACACCGAUGGCGAAGGCAGCCCCCUGGGUCAAAACUGACGCUCAUGCACGAAAGCGUGGGGAGCAAACAGGAUUAGAUACCCUGGUAGUCCACGCCCUAAACGAUGUCUACUAGUUGUNGGGUCUUAAUUGACUUAGUAACGCAGCUAACGCGUGAAGUAGACCGCCUGGGGAGUACGGUCGCAAGAUUAAAACUCAAAUGAAUUGACGG
Molecule: ribosomal RNA, 586 nt
Filed under: uncultured beta proteobacterium
Lineage: Bacteria; Pseudomonadati; Pseudomonadota; Betaproteobacteria
Description: bacterial SSU rRNA
Rfam family: Bacterial small subunit ribosomal RNA
Source: RNAcentral